This is a long non-coding RNA of Felis catus (domestic cat), 2984 nucleotides long. RefSeq lists it as uncharacterized. The record is from RefSeq and is a predicted model, not a curated record. The transcript is spliced from 2 exons. NCBI's taxonomy places the organism in Eukaryota, Metazoa, Chordata, Mammalia, Carnivora, Felidae.
AUGUUCUUUCCUGCUUUGUCAAAGAUGAGUUGGCCAUACGUCUGUGGGUCUAGUUCUGGGGUUUCUAUUCUAUUCCAUUGGUCUAUGUGUCUGUUUUUGUGCCAUGUUUUUUGAAAUUUUAAACUACAGCUGAGAGCAGAAGCAAAAACUGGUCAUUGGCCUAAAACCUUUGAUGAUUCUCUCUUGUGAAUGGAAGAGAAAGUCUAUUCACUCUAGUAUUUUCAUGCCAGUUUGUAGAAUUAGCUCAUAGUCAUUCUAGCUGCCAAGUUAAUAUCAACUUCUUACAGUGUUUCAUUAACUAGGUUUCUGAAUCAGAUCAACCAAAAAAAUGCCUUGGAAUUGGAAUAUUUGUAAAGUGGUAAGUGGUAAUGUAUGGAGGAAACGUGAAUUUCCCACUUGAUUUCAUUUUAAUUUUUUCUAGUUGGUUUGUUGGAUCAGGAUCCAAAUGUUCUAUAUACAUCGCAUUUGGUAAUGUCUUAUAUUUGUAAUAGUUGCCUGUCCUUAUUGGAAAAACAAAUUGAGGAAUUCCUAAUGACUUGCAUUUGGCUGAUUGUAUUCCUGUCGUAUUGUUUCAUACGGUUUUAUCUCCCCGAGUUUAAUAAUAGAUCUAGAAGCUUGAUUAUAUUUUGAUUAUUUUUUUAGGCUAGAUACAUCAUAGUGGGUGCUGCAUACUUCCUUUUGCAUCAUAUCAGGAGGUACGUAAUGUCAGAUUGCCUUACUUUUGAUACUAAGCUUGGUUAGUAGAUUCUAGUGAUUUCAGUGUUUUCUAUCCAUUAUAAAGUCUUCCAUCAACGUUGCACCAAAUAGUUUUAGCAGCCAUGGAUGAUAAACAUCUACACUGAUACUUUAGUUAUAAACAACAAAUUAGUGAAAGGACCUUAAAUUUCUUAAGGCAAGCCCAGAAUAGAAGACCCCAAGAAUUAAUAUAUGUGACUUCUAAAAGCUGUGCAAGUUAUCUGGGGUGACUGGGUGGCUCAGCCAGUUAAGCGGCUGACUUCAGCUCAGGUUACGAUCUUGCUGUCCGGUCCGUGAGUUCAAGCCCUGCGUUGGGCUCUGUGCUGAUAAGCGUGGAGCCUGGAGCCUGCUUUGGAUUCUGUGUCUCCCUCUCUCUCCACCCCUCCCCACUUGUGCUGACUCGCUCUCUCCCCAAAAUAAAUAAACCUUAAAAAAAUUUAAAAAAGCUGUGCAAAUUAUCUUGCACUUUUUCCCCCAAGGUCUGUUGGUACUGCAGUAUCUAUGCCUCCAAAAACCUGAUUUUAGCUUCACGGCCUUGCUCAUUUUUGAAACAGUGGCAUCAUGCAGCCAAUAUGGGCUGUGGUGUCAGACUUCACUGGAAUCUCAGUUCUAAGUCUGUUGUUGGCUUACAUUUGAAACAGCAAGAUUUCUAAGCUCCACUUUCCUCAUCUGUAAAGUGAGAAAACCUUGUAUUUAUUUUGCAGGAUCACUAUGAUGGAUUACAUGAGACAUUGGCAAAGGGCUUAGCACUUACUGGAAUAAUAAAUGAGUCCAGGCUGGCAGUGUUUCGGCUGGUAUAAAAAUUCUCAACCUUGAUCUUCUGUGGAUGUCACGGAAAUUCACUUCAUUGGACAAGAGGUGCCUCCACAGAACUUUCCUGGGUAAUCCCAUGUCUAUUCCUGGGUUCUGCUGAGAUGGUUGAGAGUAUUCACGAGUCACACGUCUAAUCUCCUAACCUAUCUGUGUGGACAAAUAUGACCUUUUGGUCAUUCUGAGGCACUAGAAAAAGGGGGCUCAACCACACCUUGGCUUUUUCUCCAGAGCACACUUCCCUGUGAGUCUCCUAAUUUUAGCAUCUUUUGCAGUGUGGAUAGGCUGAGAUUUCUGCAUUAAGUUCAGGUUCUGUUUUAACCGUUCUUCCCUAGAUUCAUCUCUUUGCUCUUGCAUUUUACUAUAAGCAUCAAAAAGAAAUGAAAAAAAUCCCUUCAGCUAAACAUCCAAGUUUGUUAUGUGCAAGUUCUGCCUUCCACAUAACUGUUGGGUACAACUCAGCUAUGUUUCUACCAUAUAAGGAUUCCCCUUUCUUCCAGUUUCCGAUAACAUUACCCAAUUCCUUCUGAGCCCUCACCAGCCGUGCUUUUAGUGUCUGUAUUUCUAUUCACAGUCUGUUUAUGUAUUCUCUAAGACUACAGAUUUUCUACUAGGCUCUUCACUUCCUUCUGAGUCCUCACUGACAGAAUUGUUAACAUUCAUGUUUGUAGUAACAAUCAGUGGAAAGCAUUCUAUCAUACCCAUAAUUCUUCCAGCCUGUGUCCAUUUUUCAGUUCCAAAACCACUUCUACAUCUUAAGGUAUUUGUUACAGUAGCACUCCACUUCCAGGUACCAAAAUCUGUUUUAGUUUCUAUAUUGCUGUUGUAACAAAUUACCACAAACUUAGUGACUUCAAACACUUUGAAUUAUUACACUUCUGGAAGGCAAAAGUUGGAAAUGGGUUUUCCAGGACUAAACGGAAAAAACAGGGCUGCUUUCCUUCUGGAAGCUCUAAGGGAAAAUCCUUCCUUGCCUUUUCAAGCUUCUAGAGGAUGUCUGCAUUCCUUGACUAGUGGCCACUCACUCCAACCUCUGCUUCUGUAGUCAUGCUUUCUUGGACUCUGAUCCUUGGUCUCCUUAUAAAGAUCCUUGUGGAUGACACUGGGGCCAUCGAGUAAUCCAGGAUAACCUUCCCCUAUCCCAAGAUCCUUAAUUUAGUUACAGCUACAAAGUCCCAUUUGCCAUGUAAGGUGAUAUGUUCACAAGUUUUGGGGAUUGGAAUGUGGGCAUCUUUGGCCAGGGGUGGGGGAGGGGGUGCUUGCCUGCCACACCUGCUCUCCAAUGCAGUAUUGAGGUCCUUAAAUGGGUGCUAGGGGACACAUGAAUGAGUGUUGCUUGUUGGGUCAGACAGAACUGGAAAAUGUCUUUUUAACGUAAAGAGGGUUUUUUUCCCCUACCCAAUUAAAUGUAUUGCAUUAAAUGUAUUACAUGCUCACAA